This is a microRNA precursor of Sorghum bicolor (sorghum), 108 nucleotides long. It matches the Rfam family "MIR5565 microRNA precursor family". Lineage: Eukaryota; Viridiplantae; Streptophyta; Magnoliopsida; Poales; Poaceae. The record is from Rfam.
GUGCAUGUAUUUACCUCAAUCCACAUAUGUUGAAGUGGAUUAGAGUGGAUUUAAACUAAGUUCCACUCUAAUCCACUCCAAUACAUGUGGUUUGAGGUAGAUACACGC